UGCAAUGCUAACUAUGGAGUGAAGUCCCUUAGGAAGCAGGACUGCCUGAGGCAACUCUGAAACCCUACACAGGCUCACAGAAAACCCGAGCCUCAAAAUGAGCCAUUUCCUGCCCCUUCAAGUCUUCUUGACAUGAUUAUGCUUGUGAUUCACUACAGCGGGAGAUCCUCACUAAAGCAGCUACUUUGGGAUAAUGGCAACUUCGUAAUCUAAAGAAUGAAUACUGAUUCUGAACAACAAGCACUGGACCCUACUCAUAUUAUUGCUGUUUACAAGGAACCCAUGCCAAAGCUGUCUUGGGGAGUACUCACCAGAUCAUCGGGACAGUCAGCAUGCAGACCAGCAACUUCUAAGUAACUGCCUUCAGUCGAAAAAUUUGAUCGAAUAUGCUCUGGCAAAACA
This is a long non-coding RNA of Coturnix japonica (Japanese quail), 402 nucleotides long. RefSeq lists it as uncharacterized. The record is from RefSeq and is a predicted model, not a curated record. Lineage: Eukaryota; Metazoa; Chordata; Aves; Galliformes; Phasianidae.